Haliotis rubra (blacklip abalone) is the source of this 1125-nucleotide long non-coding RNA. RefSeq lists it as uncharacterized. The transcript is spliced from 4 exons. NCBI's taxonomy places the organism in Eukaryota, Metazoa, Mollusca, Gastropoda, Lepetellida, Haliotidae. The record is from RefSeq and is a predicted model, not a curated record.
UCUGGUGACCCUCGCCCGUGAUAUUGCUGGAAUAUUGCUAAAGCGGCGUAAAACCAUACUCACAUACUCACAUAUUGUCUUAACAUUCCAAUGGCAAGUGGCGUUUGGUUUGAUUUGAUAUGACUUAAAGCUUGUGUAGAAUACUCUUUGUACCUGCAACUUGAGAUCGUCACUGUGUCAACUUAAAGCACACAUACAGCCCAUUCAAUAUUAUUCAGUUAUUGUGACGACAAUAACAUUUAUUGUAACUUCCUAGUUGUUCAAACGCUAAACACAUUGUACAUUCAGAAAGUCGAAGUGUACUGAGCAUAACGGUGCUAAUAAUGUUUCCCUGUGCAUAUACCUUCCUUGUCGUUCGGAAGCUGUACACAUAAGUCAUGCAUUUGUCAUACAUAGUUGACACGAUCUGUAAACACGAUCCGGGCUGUUCAACAUGGUUGGCUUUAGGAUCUUUGGUGUUGCAAUCCUCUCGGGACUGAUAGAGCUGACAUCGGGUGAGUGUACUUAAGUUAUAUCCUUAUAUUGAUUUUAUCUGUUUUCCUGUUGGCUUAGGUCAAAGUUUCCUUCCUCGUCCAUGUAAUAGGUGUAGCCGUUGCAGUAGAGACGCAUGCCACACAGGGAAACGAAUAAUGUCACUGAUCCAACUUGUUAUGAGGUUCCUGCCCACAAGGAAUGUUUGGAGACUCCUGUAGAUACUCCUGUCACUGUGCAUCUUGUAACGAGACAACAGGUGCCUGUUCAGAUCCCCUGCGACUCUGGUUGGAUUAUGGGAGGAAGCAUGUGCCAGAAGCAAAACAUUGCUCUGAACAAGACAGCAUCAACAACAUCUGGAGUGGAGGAAGGUUGGUCCCCAUCAAAGGCCGUGGAUGGAGACAAUGACACUGAUGGUGAGGGCAGAACCUGUUUCCACGCUCUAAGAUCUCGGUCAGACUGGACAGUGGAUCUGGGCUCGGGACUUCCAGCUGUAUGACAUCAUCAGGAUUUACAGUAGAAAUGGAUCUCACUGGAGAAACGCCAACUCUACCAUCUACCUGAACAACACUACCAACACCAACACCACCAACUGCUCUACCCUCCCGAGUUCAUCCAAAACCACCACCAGCCAAACUGAUGUGACGUGUAACG